GACGAACGCUGGCGGCGUGCUUAACACAUGCAAGUCGAGCGGUAAGGCCCUUUCGGGGGUACACGAGCGGCGAACGGGUGAGUAACACGUGGGUGACCUGCCCUCAGCUCUGGGAUAAGCCUGGGAAACCGGGUCUAAUACUGGAUAUGACUCCAUGACGCAUGUUGUGGGGUGGAAAGCCUUGUGCGGCUGAGGAUGGGCCCGCGGCCUAUCAGCUUGUUGGGGGGUGAUGGCCUACCAAGGCGACGACGGGUAGCCGGCCUGAGAGGGCGACCGGCCACACUGGGACUGAGACACGGCCCAGACUCCUACGGGAGGCAGCAGUGGGGAAUCUUGCGCAAUGGGCGAAAGCCUGACGCAGCGACGCCGCGUGGGGA
RNAcentral lists this ribosomal RNA (377 nucleotides) under uncultured bacterium. Its description in RNAcentral is "bacterial SSU rRNA". It matches the Rfam family "Bacterial small subunit ribosomal RNA", at positions 28 to 407 of the family's 1533-position model. The record is from RNAcentral.